RNAcentral lists this long non-coding RNA (4651 nucleotides) under Sus scrofa (pig). RNAcentral describes it as "lncRNA (ENSSSCG00035065091.1)". Lineage: Eukaryota; Metazoa; Chordata; Mammalia; Artiodactyla; Suidae. The record is from RNAcentral.
CACCAUUGAUAGCGCCCUUGGCCUAGGGACCCAUAAAGAUGACACAUGACUAGAGCCAUCCCUGAUGCAAAGAUUUAAAUGAGUCCAUAGACAACUUUUAGAUCAGGGUAGAUUGAUUUUAUCGAAUCGUUUCACAGCCUGCGGGGAAAUUAGUAGCUCAUGAGGCUGGCCAUUCAGUCUGUUGUAAGAGAGGCAUCUCCAAGACACCCAUGCAACCUCUGUCAUCCCGUGCACAGAGUGGUUGUCACUAUCUAGACAUUUCAGUUUUCCGUACUAGUCCUGGAUAGCAAAAGAAUGCUUCUAAUUAGAGCCUUUCUGGAAGUUGGCUUCGAUCAGUGGGAGUUGGCAUGUGAAGUGAAACCUAUUUGCCAUUUCUGUUCUAUUGCUUGGUGCUGAAGUUGGCAGUAGCUAUCUAGUAUCUUCAUACAAAUGCUGGGGUGUCACUAUCUCUGAGCUCUACACCCUGCCGCAUAGGAAACUUUUGUGAAUGGCAGAGUGAAAUCCACACACAGGUCAGUAAUGCCCCAAAUGAUUUAAAGGCCAGGAAGGUGAAGACCAUCACACAACUACAGAAUGGGAAUACCAAAGCCGUGACUGGAAAGUGCUUAGUACCAUAACUUGUCCACAAUGAGCCAUCUCAACAUAUUAGCACCCUCUGUUCUUGCCUAAUACUGAGAUUUUUCUCAUACACCUAUUUAGACUUUUGCUCUGUGUGGAGUUCUGCUGAUUCUGCUACUCUUGGUGUACAUUUUCACGUUCUUUCCCGUCGUGGCGCAGUGGUUAAGGAAUCCGACUAGGAACCAUGAGGUUGCAGGUUCGGUCCCUGCCUUUGCUCAGUGGGUUGACGAUCCGGCGUUGCCGUGAGCUGUGGUGCAGGUUGCAGAUGCGGCUCGGAUCACGCGUUGCUGUGGCUCUGGGGUAGGCUGGUGGCUACGGCUCUGAUUAGACCCCUAGCCUGGAAAUCUCCAUAUGCCGCGGGAGCGGCCCAAGAAGUAGCAAAAAGACAAAAGAAAAAAAAAUUAUGGUGUUUGGUCAAUUGUACAAGUUCGGCAUUUCAUGAAUAAGUGGGUGGAUGAUUAUGCAGACAGAGGUUUUAAAAGGUCUUUUUUUAAAGCUUUAUUACUGCCUGACCCUCUUUCCACCCUGACCAUCCUCCCCAUAUACGUGCAGAAAUCAGAAGUUGAAGAGGAAUCAAGAAAAUGAACUCCCCUCUCCUUCUUCUGGCCAUCUUGUUACUUCUUUUGAAGAAUCUUCUCUAAUAUCCUACCUCCCACUCUACCAUCCUCCUCUGUCCUUCUCUUUGCUCCUUAGGUUCUCUCUCUUCUCCUUUAUUCCCUCUUUUCUUCCUCAAACCAACCCCCCAUCAUCUGCCACCUCAGGGUUGGUCCCCCCUCAUGCCUACCCUUUGCUUCAGUGCUUGAUUAAAUCAGGGCACAUACUCUCUCCCGGGUCGGUUCUUUCUCUUACACUCCAGGAGUCACAUCUCAGUGUGAAAAGAGAGACUUGGAAGAAGAGUACAGACUGUCUGAAGAAGCCACACAGCGGGGAGGAGGUGUAGGAAUGGGAGCCCCACUCUGUGUAUCCCUCAGUCCCUCUCCUUUAAAUACGGCUCCUAGUCACAAGUGUGGGUUGUUGCUAUGAAUCAUCAGCAAGCGUUGUUUUCUGUGGCCUCUUCUGACAAAAGUCAGGAGACAUCCUUGGAGAAAACUGCAGUGAGGACUGGAUUCUAUACUUUGACAAGGCUGACCUUGCAAGGGAGCCAGGUGAACAAGUGUUUUCAUUUUCAUUGUAAUUUAAGGAGCCCUGGACAAGAGUAUUUUUCCCCAAAUUCGACUUUUUACAAUUACUAUUUACUACUUUAGAGCAAAAAGCUCUUUUUUAUUUUUAUUUUUUGUAUAUGUAAGAAGCUGCAAAUAACAUAUUGUUAGAUAUUACUUGCAUAUAGGCUUAUUAUUAGCCAGACACUUUAGUUCACUAUCCAGAGAGACAGAGGGGAACUCUAUGCCUUUUAGAGCAGGGGAAGAUACUGUCAAGAGUUGAUAUGGAAGCCAACAUAGAAGUGACUAAAACUAUGGCCUGACUUUGCUAGUUGCAAAAUGAUUGGCCCUACCCUUCAGCCAGCAUAAGAGACAUGCAAAUCUGAUAGUCAGGUGUGUACCCAAAAGCUAGGUUAUAGCCAGGAUUAUAUAAAUGAAUAAGUAUUUGGAAGAGAUUCAGCACAGAAUGUUUAAAUAUUGGACUCUGUCACCCAUCCUCUUCUUGACUUUGAAGAACAAGAAUAGACAAUAUGGUAGAGGUCUAUGACUGCAAAUUAGCAGUUGAGGUAGUUCUCUCACCAGGGUGAUUUUAAAAUGAGAUUAGAUUUAAGGGAGAUAUAGUCAAACCUUAAUGCUGAAUGUGUCAUUUUGACCAUUUAUUGAAAUGCAACCCUCUUGACCUCUGGGUUACCAAUUACGUGUGGGAUUUGGAGGGAUCAUUAGUGUAAGAGAGGGACGUUUUUAUUUGGAGUCAGGGCGCAGCUAUUCUUAACUUAGUGUCAUCUCUGUGGGAGAGUUCUUACUGGUCAAAAAAAUCUCUAAAUUCAUUGAUUUCCUAAAAUGUCAAGCGAAAUAUUUUGCAGACUUUGGGAAUCCCAAAACUGUCCGCUCUCUCUGCUCAGUGGUUUUGAUAUAAUAUACCAGUGAAAGUAGCCCACUUCUACUCAGGAGGAGUUAUUAAGAAGAUAGGUUUGGGGGGAAGGAAAAAUUGGGGUGGGGGGAGCUAUAAAAAAAAAAAUUCAACCUUAGGGUAUCAGGCACUGGCAGACAUUAUGGCUGGGUUUGAAAUGUGUUUGAUGAUACAAAGGCCAGAGCCAGUUAGGCUGUGCAAACAGAAGCCAGGUGCUUCAAUGAAGGAAAGAAAUUUAAUUGCAGUUGCUGCAAAUGUGUGUCUCCUCAUUUGAGUGACUGGUGCAGGAUAGUUCUCAGCCUGGUGCAGAAAAAGGCACUCAGCUCUGGGAGUCAGCACAGCUGAGGUCUGAAGGAAGAUUGACACAGCUGGCCUGGGGAACCUCAGCCUAGUCCCUCCCCGCUCUGGGCCACAGCUUCCCAAUGAAUAAAAUGGAGAUAAUGAUGUCUGUCCCUCUGCCACACACGGGUGUUUUAAAGCAAUGGAGGUUUAAGAGCUGGGGAAAGAAUGGACCAAAUUUAAAGUUCUGUGCAUGGUUUGUAUAGCUGGUAUCCAAUUCUGAGCAUCGGAAAUGUUAUAGAAAAUGAUGCUAAUAAAACCCAUAAAGAUCAGAAGUCCAAGUACCAAGAGCAAUUGGCGAAGUAUAAAUGGCACCCUGUUCCUAUUUUCUUUUCUAUAAACUCAGGCAGGCCUGAGGCUGUGUCUUUUGGUUAUUUUAUCUGUUCCAUCUACAUGGCUUCAAAAGUGAUUCCCCAAAAUGGUUGAUCCGUGAGUAGACCAGUCUUGGACACAGGGACAAGGCUUAGGAGUCAUCACCUGCCUAUUUUCAAGUGGAAAAGGAAAAAUAUCUCACAGCCCAUUCAUGUGCUAUAAUGCCAGUAUAAAUUGUGAAUCAAUGGAAAUAAAUGUUCCAGCCUCUUCUUUGACACGAUCUGUGAAUGGGGAUAUUUAGGAGAAUUGAAAGAAUUAAACAUAAUGUGACCUAUACCACAAAGAAAGAGUGAAGCUUCUUUUAAGUGCUUUCAGUUUGUGUCAAAAUGUGAUUCCCAUGUGAGAUCAAAUGUGCAAGAGGUUUGGGGAAACAUACUUGUAAAUUAUAAGGAGAGGGGGAACAGGCGAAGCUUGAGAGAGCCUCAGAGAAAGUUUCAGCCAGGCUGAUGUGGGAUCCCUGAACAAAGUCCUUUAAAGGAGUCCCACUUUGGGAAGGAAUGACCUUGCUCUAGUAACUCUACCAUGUGCAGUAUAAAUGCCAUAGUGGCUUUAAGGUAGUGACAAUUAUUAACUGUCAGUCAGUUGUUCUUUUUGCAGCAGGUUCUUCUAAAGGAGAUCUGAGUAGGGCACUUCCAUGGUCACCAUAGACAUUACUGUUACACCCCAUCUUAUACUCGGGGACCUAUGUUGUCACCUCCACAUACCUCUAGCUUCAGUUGCCCUUGCUUUGUAUCCAAGUCAUGUACUACUGGUUCAUUAAUCCAGUCAACUGGGCAUUCACCAAAUACUCCCUCUUCACACCAACCACCACUGCUCUUGGAUUUUUGCAAAAUAUCAGACCCUAUGCUAACUGACAAUAUCAGCUUAUCCUUACCACAACUCUUUGAUGGAACUACCAUGAACAUCUCCAUUCUGCAGAUGAAACGCAGCAUAAAUAACUGUGGUCACAUAGCUGUAAGUGGUGAAUAUUCCAUUCAGACCCCAGUCAGCCUGGUCACCUAGCUACUCCUGCAGUACCACCCUUUCCGGGCACAUCUCCUGAGGGCCUCUAGUAACCUAGGUGCUAUGCUAGGUGCUGGGGAUUUUGUCCUUACAUGGUGGACCACCAGUCGCAAGGAGAUCAUUCUGGAAGCAGAACCAAGAUGUAAACCAAAAAUUAUGAUUCAGCUCAGUGUGAAAAGUUCCCAGAGCACAGAGAUAAACUGGAGCUUAGCCUUGAAGGAUGAGCAUUUGUACUAGUCUGAUCAAAGGAAGGAGAGAAAUCUACAUAGAC